AGAAAUUGGUCGGUCCUGGAUUUCAAGAGAAAGCAUAGGAAGGACUUAACGAGUAAUCCUAAAUCUUUAAGAAGAUUGAGGACAGCUUGUGAGAGGGCGAAGAGAACUCUUUCUUCAGCCGAACAGGCAACUGUUGAAAUUGAUUCACUAUACGAGGGAAUUGACUUCAAAUCCAGCAUCACGCGUGCCAAAUUUGAGGAGCUGAACAUGGAACUCUUCAAGAAGUGUGUGGAUCCAAUUGAGAUAUGUUUGAGGGAUGCUAGAGUGGACAAGGACAGUGUCCAUGAAAUUGU
RNAcentral lists this unclassified non-coding RNA (293 nucleotides) under Hevea brasiliensis (rubber tree). The record is from RNAcentral. Lineage: Eukaryota; Viridiplantae; Streptophyta; Magnoliopsida; Malpighiales; Euphorbiaceae.